Molecule: ribosomal RNA, 380 nt
Filed under: uncultured eukaryote
Lineage: Eukaryota
Description: partial 18S ribosomal RNA
Rfam family: Eukaryotic small subunit ribosomal RNA
Source: RNAcentral
CAAUAGCGUAUAUUAAAGUUGUUGCAGUUAAAAAGCUCGUAGUUGGAUUUGUGGCGUACGGUGUGUUCCGGGCACUUGUUGUCUGAGUAACCUGCUGUUGCCAUCCUUGGGUGGAACCUGUGUGGCAUUAGGUUGUCGUGCAGGGGAUGCCCAUCAUUUACUGUGAAAAAAUUAGAGUGUUCAAAGCAGGCUUAUGCCGUUGAAUAUAUUAGCAUGGAAUAAUGAGAUAGGACUUUUUUGCUAUUUUGUUGGUUUGCGCAAAGAGGUAAUGAUUAAUAGGGACAGUUGGGUGUAUUCGUAUUCCAUUGUCAGAGGUGAAAUUCUUGGAUUUUUGGAAGACGAACUACUGCGAAAGCAUUUACCAAGGAUGUUUUCAUUAA